RNAcentral lists this ribosomal RNA (913 nucleotides) under uncultured bacterium. Its description in RNAcentral is "bacterial SSU rRNA". It matches the Rfam family "Bacterial small subunit ribosomal RNA", at positions 592 to 1501 of the family's 1533-position model. The record is from RNAcentral.
GUGUGAAAUCUCCCGGCUCAACCGGGAGGGUGCGCCGAAUACUGAGGAGCUAGAGUGCGGGAGAGGAGAGUGGAAUUCCUGGUGUAGCGGUGAAAUGCGUAGAUAUCAGGAGGAACACCGGUGGUGUAAACGGCUCUCUGGACCGUAACUGACGCUGAGACACGAAAGCGUGGGUAGCAAACAGGAUUAGAUACCCUGGUAGUCCACGCCCUAAACGAUGCAUAUUUGGUGUGGGUCAUUCAGUUGAUCCGUGCCGGAGCUAACGCGUUAAAUAUGCCGCCUGGGGAGUACAGUCGCAAGGCUGAAACUCAAAGGAAUUGACGGGGGCCCGCACAAGCGGUGGAGCAUGUGGUUCAAUUCGACGCAACGCGAAGAACCUUACCUGGGCUCGAACGGCCGGCUAACGGCGGUGGAAACACCGCUAUCCCGCAAGGGAGUCCGGUCGAGGUGCUGCAUGGCUGUCGUCAGCUCGUGUCGUGAGAUGUUGGGUUAAGUCCCGCAACGAGCGCAACCCUCGUCCUGUGUUGCCAGGGGAGCAAUCCCGGAACUCGCAGGAGACCGCCAGCGAUAAGUUGGAGGAAGGUGGGGAUGACGUCAAGUCCUCAUGGCCUUUAUGUCCAGGGCUACACACGUGCUACAAUGGCCGGUACAAAGCGCUGCAAACCCGCGAGGGGGAGCCAAUCGCAGAAAACCGGUCUCAGUUCGGAUUGCAGGCUGCAACUCGCCUGCAUGAAGCUGGAAUCGCUAGUAAUGGCAGAUCAGCACGCUGCCGUGAAUACGUUCCCGGGCCUUGUACACACCGCCCGUCACAUCACGAAAGUGGAUUGUACUAGAAGCCUGCAGGCCGACCCGCAAGGGGGGCAGCGGUCCAAGGUAUGAUCCAUGAUUGGGGUGAAGUCGUAACAAGGUAACC